RNAcentral lists this ribosomal RNA (253 nucleotides) under uncultured bacterium. Its description in RNAcentral is "partial 16S ribosomal RNA". It matches the Rfam family "Bacterial small subunit ribosomal RNA", at positions 524 to 776 of the family's 1533-position model. The record is from RNAcentral.
UACGUAGGGGGCUAGCGUUGUCCGGAAUCAUUGGGCGUAAAGCGCGUGUAGGCGGCCCGGUAAGUCCGCUGUGAAAGUCAAGGGCUCAACCCUUGAAAGCCGGUUGAUACUGUCGGGCUAGAGUCCGGAAGAGGCGAGUGGAAUUCCUGGUGUAGCGGUGAAAUGCGCAGAUAUCAGGAAGAACACCCGUGGCGAAGGCAGCUCGCUGGGACGGUACUGACGCUGAGACGCGAAAGCGUGGGGAGCAAACAGG